GGUCGAUUUGUUAUGUUCAUUACUUCACCAAAAUUUGUGAGAGGUCGAGUUUAUUUGCGACAAGUAUUUACGAACAAAAUAUAAUUUUUCGUGUUUAAAAUAAGUUAGUAUGCAUUAAAACAUAAGCGAUAAGAAUAUUAAUAUUAUGGUUCCUGUAAACUUGGCCCGUAUGCAGUUGUUCAGAUGCAGUUCUUCCUGAUAAGACCACAGCACAUAAGCACACCAACCUCAGUUAAGUGUAAAUAACUUAGAUCUUACUUAACUAGUAAAUAAUCUUUAAACAUGGAUAAAGAACCAAUAAUUAUGACACAUGCUUUACCCAAUAAAGAAGUUAUUAACAAUCAAUUGAAUAUUGAGGUAAAUCUGAAAAAAGACGCGGAAUUUAUAUCAGAGGAAUAUGAGAGUGAUUCCAAUACUAACUCCAAUGCUGAUAAUGAAGAGUAUUACGAUUCAGUCUCUGAAAACAGUUUUGAAUGUGAACCUGACGUGAACCGUUCAUUUCCAAUUUUACAUAACUUGGAGACAAAAAAGAAAAUGUGUAUAAAUAGCUCCAACUAUAUUUAUGGAAAAUAUGUUCUGAGACAAUGUCCUAUGUGUGAUUCCGAGUUUAAUUCUGCACAUUGUUGGAAGAAACAUAUUAAUUACAUACAUCAUUUAGCUACUCCGGAAGAUUUGCAAUUCAAAUACAACGAAGUAGGUGCAAAAUGUAAAAUUUGUGAUUUUCAAACGGCUACUCCAGAUUUUAACAAACUAUUAGAUCAUCAAAUCUCACAUAUGCCAUUUAGUCUGUUUUUAAAAUGUAAAUUAUGUGAUUGGAGAACUAAAACACAUCCAAGCAUGAAUUUUCAUUUGCGUCAAGUGCAUUCCGAUAAAUUGGAUAUGACAAAAAAAAGUAUUGAGUUAACUGUAUGUCCAUAUUGUCAGCAAGAAUUCUCAUCACAAUGGUAUUUGCGAAAACAUAUGUUUCAGGAACAUGAAAAGACUAUUGACGAUAGAACAUGUUUCAUUUGCUUAGAUUGUGGCGAAGAAUUUCCCACAAAUGUUAGUUUACGUGCGCAUGUAUUUGAAAAAUUUGCAGACAAGUCGGUGGAAGAACUGAGCUUCAAAGAGGUGAUUUCAGUUGGCGAAGAUAAUGAUAUUUCAUACAAGUGUACUCAAUGCCCGACCAUUUAUCGCAAAAGUACAUCCAGUCGGACAUUAACAAACUUACGCGAACAUUAUAUGUUGCAUUUAGGCGAACUUACUGGAAAACACGCAUACAAAUGUAAAUAUUGCGAUGAAAGUUUUCGUCGAUUUGACUAUAUGCGCUUACACAUUUGUGAGGAACUACGUAAAGCCUUGCAGAGUUGCGCCAAUUCACAUACUAUAUUAAGUGCGAAAGGCCGUAGAAAUAAGUUAUCAAAGAAAAAUGUGCAACAAGAACCAGUCGAACUGAAGAGAGACUACAUGAAACAUAUUCGUCAUGUUUGUUUAAAAUGUGGAAAUUCAUAUGGCAAGUUGUUCCAUUGCAAACGGCAUAUGUAUAUAAAACAUGGCAUGAGCAAACCAUCGGGAUUGGAUUUUAAAAAGAUAGCAAAUCAAAGUGCUUCAGAAGUUUAUGAAUGUACGAUUUGCGAAGAGUUCACCUGCGACUUGGAUUUAAAUACAAUGCUAGUGCACGCGCGUAUACAUACCGUUUAUGAUCCUUUACUGUGUAAAAUUUGCAAUACAUCUUUUGCUUAUGAAACCGACAUACCAGGACAUGAUUGUGUGGAUGUGGAGGUUGUUGAAACAGUAAAAGAAUCAAGAUAUCCCAGAGAAAUUCCCAUACCCAAUAUGGAUACUUUUUGCCCUAAAUGCGAUCUAACAUAUACAACGCCUUCUUCCUUAACAAGACACAUGAAUAGAAUGCAUGGCAUGCAUGAACCCUACGGGCUUGGCUUUGUAGUGUGCGAAACAAACGGUAGCACUGAAGUAGUAUUUCGUUGCACUCAAUGUGAAAAUUUUACGAUUAAUGUGAAAAAUUUGAAAGCUAUGUUAGAACAUGCGCGACUACAUUUGCCAUAUGAAAGUUUCAGAUGUGUCUUCUGUAAAGAGCGAUUUCAUUUUAAAGAGCAGGCGAGACAACAUCAAUGUUCAAAAAAUACAACAGAGGCGGUUAAUAUAGUGGAUAAAUACGAUCAAAAGAUUUUGAAGACGCGCUUAAAUAAAAUGGGGCGAUUAUGUCCUAAAUGUGGUAAAAAAUUUGCAAAACCAACAGUUUGUAAAGUGCAUACAACAAAUAUACAUGGUUUAGAUAAGCCUGCUGGACUUGGCUUUGAAAAGCUUAGUGCUGAUAACGUUGAUAGUAAUCGCGAAAAAUACCGUUGUAACGAAUGCUUGAGCUUCGUUGUAGAAAAACUGGAUUUAAGUUUAAUGUCAGAACAUGCUAGAGAACAUUUUCCGUACGAUAGUUUUUGGUGCAUGCUAUGUGACGAACAAUUUAAAUUCAAAUUGCUAGCUAUUAAACAUAAAUGUCCGAAUGAUACAAGAACAGUGGAAGAAAAUAAUGAUGGUGAUUUUGAAAGCACAGCGCACACCAAAUAUCCUAAAACAUUUGAGAAGAUUAUAAAGAAAUUUUGUCCCGAAUGCAACUUUGAAGUGCCAACAAUGAAAGCUUGGCGUUGGCAUAUAAGUAAAUACCAUGAAAUGACAACACUUACCGGUUUACAGAUGAAACAAGCGAAGGGCAAUUUGGUAGAGUGUUUAAUUUGUCAGGUAAAGACGACAUAUGUAAGGCGUUUGGAUCAUCGAUUUGUACAUCUGCCAUUUAAGCCCUAUCAAUGCAGAUAUUGUUUAGAAUAUUUCAUCGAAGUGGAAAAGGCGAAAGCGCAUUGUGGUGACUGUGCUGUUGCACCAACAGAAUUCGACGAAACGGAGGAAACAAAAAAGGCACAAGCUAAUAAGCGUACAGCGUCCAAAGGCAUGGAAGCAAAAAUUGAUAAUAAGAGAGCCAAAAUACAAAAUAAACGCGAAACUGUCUCACAUGUAAAAGCGAACGGAGCAAACUCGUCCAGUGAACGGUUAGACUCCGAAAGUGAAAAUGAUAAUGCAGACGCCAACAGAUGUGUUAGUGUUGUACUUACAGAUGAUAAUGACUUCGCAAAAUUCAUACGUAUAAGCUGUCCAUUAUGCCCGGAUACGGAAUUCGAAUCGAAUCUAAUGCUGACGCGUCACUUCAACGAAGCUCAUAAUAAUUUUCGAGAACACUUCACAAUUCAUCAAACAAAUGCGGCGAAUUGUAAAACGUGCAAAAAAUAUUUUAAUGUCGUAUACAAGAAAACUAUGAUUAAGCACUAUUUAAGUGAAAUUAACGCUACAUGUUUCUGUUGUCGUCUAUGUGAUAAAAAUAUACUAUAUUUUGAAACAAUGCGCUCACAUCUGCUGGACGAUCAUCAGGCUGUGAUUGCCGGUCAGCAGACACAUGAGAAUAGCAACACAACCGCAGAAGCUGGUGAGGAGGUCGAUCCUUUGAAAGUAACCGCUGUAGAUAUAUCGAAGGUGUCGCGUACAACCAUGGCAAUACCGAGCGUUAAAACUGCGGUAUUUAAUGAAUUUAAUGAAUACAUUUCAUAUGCAUGUCCCGAAUGCAAUGAGCAUUUCGACACAUCCGAACAAUGGCAUUUACACAUAAACGGUGCACAUAGUUUCUUCGAACAACAUCAGCUGAAUAUUGAAGCCACAUCAGAUGGUUUUAAACGUUGCAAACAGUGUAGUGUUAAUAUAAGUGGCGGCAUCCUGGCCGAACAAAGACAUAAGCUAACACAUAUGCAAUACAAAUCGUUCAUUUGUAUUCUCUGUCAACAUCGUUCGACCACGUUAGGUGUGCUCACACAGCAUUUUCGCCGUCGUCACUUCGCCAAGGGCACGUUUAAGUGUGUUCUAUGUCCAAGUGUGCUAAGUACUUCAUGCGAACAAAUCGAACAUAUGAAGAAUGAGCAUGAUCCCAGUGAAUAUCCAUCGAAAUUAUGUCGCGUCUGCUUCAGCAUGUUCAGCUCGAUCAACUCGCUGAACACACAUAUGGAUUUGCAUAAUCCCAAUCGAAAAGUGUUUCAGUGCGACUACUGCGACCGUUAUUAUAAGUACAAGAGAGAAUUGGGUUUACACGUGCGUGCUAAACAUCCCGAACAAGAAGCCAAAGCCAGUGAAGGAGUCUUUCUUUUUGCUAACUAACCAACAUUGGGGUGCACGUUACCGAGCUUAACCUGAAUUUCAUCAGGGAAAAUGGGUUGUUAAGUGGGGUGCUAAACGAGCUGUUGUUGUUAACUUCGAGCGCAACCAACAUGUCCUAUGUCCACAUAAAGCGAACCAGCUAUCAAAAAAAGCCGUUAUGUAAGCGGACAUACGUCUGUUGUACACUCCACUCUCUAAAUGAUUGUUACAAUUACUUAUAUUGUAUGACGUUAAAAGUCG
RNAcentral lists this unclassified non-coding RNA (4431 nucleotides) under Bactrocera tryoni. Its description in RNAcentral is "zinc finger protein 62-like, transcript variant X3". The record is from RNAcentral. Lineage: Eukaryota; Metazoa; Arthropoda; Insecta; Diptera; Tephritidae.